UUGAUCCUGCCGGANGCGACCGCUUUUGGAGUUCGAUUAANCCAUGCGAGUCGAGAGUCUUAGGGACUCGGCAAACUGCUCAGUAACACGUGGAUAACCUGCCCUGUGCUCUGGGAUAACCUCGGGAAACUGAGGAUAAUACCAGAUAGUCCACCACGCCUGGAACGGUGGGUGGAUCAAAGGUCACGGCACAGGAUGGGUCUGCGGCGUAUCAGGUUGUAGGGGGUGUAACGGACCCCCUAGCCUUCGACGCGUACGGGUGUUGGGAGACAUAGCCCGGAGAUGGAUUCUGAGACACGAAUCCAGACCCUACGGGGUGCAGCAGGCGCGAAAACUUCACACUGCAGGAAACUGUGAUGAGGGAACUCCAAGUGUGUGCGUUUUACGUACACUUUUCUGAACUCUUAAUCGGUUCAGGAAUAAGGGCUGGGAAAGACCGGUGCCAGCCGCCGCGGUAAUACCGGCAGCUCNNGUGGUCGUCGCUUUUAUUGGGCCUAAAAC
RNAcentral lists this ribosomal RNA (501 nucleotides) under uncultured archaeon. Its description in RNAcentral is "bacterial SSU rRNA". It matches the Rfam family "Archaeal small subunit ribosomal RNA", at positions 8 to 516 of the family's 1478-position model. The record is from RNAcentral.